GAUGAACGCUGGCGGCGUGCCUAAUACAUGCAAGUCGAGCGAACGGACGAGAAGCUUGCAUCUCUGAUGUUAGCGGCGGACGGGUGAGUAACACGUGGAUAACCUACCUAUAAGACUGGGAUAACUUCGGGAAACCGGAGCUAAUACCGGAUGAUAUUUUGAACCGCAUGGUUCAAAAGUGAAAGACGGUCUUGCUGUCACUUAUAGAUGGAUCCGCGCUGCAUUAGCUAGUUGGUAAGGUAACGGCUUACCAAGGCAACGAUGCAUAGCCGACCUGAGAGGGUGAUCGGCCACACUGGAACUGAGACACGGUCCAGACUCCUACGGGAGGCAGCAGUAGGGAAUCUUCCGCAAUGGGCGAAAGCCUGACGGAGCAACGCCGCGUGAGUGAUGAAGGUCUUCGGAUCGUAAAACUCUGUUAUUAGGGAAGGACAUAUGUGUAAGUAACUGUGCACAUCUUGACGGUACCUAAUCAGAAAGCCACGGCUAACUACGUG
Molecule: ribosomal RNA, 497 nt
Filed under: uncultured bacterium
Lineage: Bacteria
Description: partial 16S ribosomal RNA
Rfam family: Bacterial small subunit ribosomal RNA
Source: RNAcentral